UACGAAGGGGGGCUAGCGUUGUUCGGAAUCACUGGGCGUAAAGGGCGCGUAGGCGGCUUUGUAAGUCGGGGGGUGAAAGCCUGUGGCUCAACCACAGAAUUGCCUUCGAUACUGCAUGGCUUGAGACCGGAAGAGGUUAGUGGAACUGCGAGUGUAGAGGUGAAAUUCGUAGAUAUUCGCAAAGAACACCAGUGGCGAAGGCGGCUGACUGGUCC
Molecule: ribosomal RNA, 215 nt
Filed under: uncultured bacterium
Lineage: Bacteria
Description: partial 16S ribosomal RNA
Rfam family: Bacterial small subunit ribosomal RNA
Source: RNAcentral